UUGAGAAAUUUUUAAAUAACUCGAUUAUAUACGAACCUUGACUUUCAUUUUCGUUUUCACAAUUUUGGUAAUACUGGAGAAUAGAAUGUCGUUAGAGUUGGUGGGGUGGUUCCUCCGAUCUAUUUCUGUACCACGUUUAUGGGGUAAAGUUCAAGUGAAUAAAUUCAGAAUAUGAUCGGCGAUUUUACUAUUUUACAAUAGUAAAAUCGCAGAGAACAUGGAACUAAUAUUUUAUUACAUUUCGAUAAUACCUAAUAUGAAACUUAUCGAAUUAUUAUUAGAAACAAUAUUUUCAAUUACAGAUUAAAUAUACGAAAUGAUAGUAUUGAUGAUAAUCUUUUGAUAACCGUUGAUAAAGUACAAACAAAUCAUUUAUCUUAUACUUGGUGCUUUAAGUUUCCAAAGGAAGAUACUGUUAGUCUAGGUAUCAAUUACGAUAUUGCAAAUCAAGAAAUUAUUUAUUACAAAAUAAUUUUAACCUCUAAUUUUCCAUGAAAUAUUAAAAGAAAUACUUAUUAUUAAGAUCUUAUUUAUUCCUCGAUAUUUAAACACACAUAAAUAAUAUAGUGAAAACAAACUCGUCAAUUUAAUUAUGAUUUCGCAAAGAGAAAAUGUAUGGUCUAACAUACCUAUUCGUAUGUUCAUAAAUACAAUAUCACAUCCAGUUGAUUAUGCAAAGGUUUUAAUACAGAUUGGUCAUGAACCUAUUCCACCACGCCAAACAUUUACAUUAUUUGGAAAACCAGCAUUAGCCUUACCCAACGUUUUUCAAUAUGUUAAAUAUAUCAAAAGUGUUGAUGGAUUUGCUGGUUGUUAUCGGGGACUGGUACCUAAACUUUGUGCAUAUACCCUCAGUGCGGUAGCAUUUGAGAAAACUUCUGAAUGCAUUACAUUUAGUGAUGAACCUGACAAAAAUAAAGAUGAUGAGGAAUUAACAGAACCAGAAAGACGUACUAGAUGUAUUCAUGAGUUAAUACGGGAUUUAAUUAGUAGAAUGGUGGGAAUCAUAGUGAGCCAUCCAUUGGAUGUAAUAAUGUUAAGGAUGAUGGCCCAAUUUGUAGGCGGUGAAACAAAAUACAAUGGAAUUGUUAGAUCAUUUAUAGAAGUGUAUAAGGAAAAUGGAAUUGCAGGAUAUUAUGCAGGAAUAAUACCACGCCUCAUUGCAAAUGCUGCGGUAUUAGUUCUUGUCAGUUCAUCGACUUAUGUCAUUAAUAAAUAUAUUAUUCAUGAUCAAGAAUUAAAAACUUAUACAGCUUCCACAAUGAAAUUUAUUGCAACAACCGUUACUUAUCCAUUCUUGGUAGUGUCUCAUUGCAUGGCGGUAAAUAACUGUGGAUUGGUUGCUGGCCUUCCUCCAAAUAUGCCAAUUUAUAAUAAUUGGUUGGAUUGUUGGUCUCAUUUAUCAAGUAUCAAUCAAGUGAAGAGAGGCAGUAGUCUUUUAUGGCGUUACUAUACUGGUCCACGAAUAAUCGUUAAGGGAAAAGCGAUACCUAUUAAUACAGAUUACUUUAAUGCGGAUAAAAUCCAAUAGGAAAUACAUUGAUACUUUGAUAAAUACUCAGAAGAGCAAUAAAAAUUAAUCCUAAAUUACAUAUGUCUUACAUUAUGGUGUUCAUCUGUAAUUUAUAAGGUAGUAAGUUUGAACUGUAAUUUAUCUACUAAAGCUGCAAUAUGAAUGUGAAUAAUGCACAGAGAGAAUGCAUUUAUUAUUAAUAAUAUAUAUAUAUGUACUUA
RNAcentral lists this unclassified non-coding RNA (1734 nucleotides) under Polistes dominula (European paper wasp). Its description in RNAcentral is "mitochondrial carrier homolog 2-like, transcript variant X1". Lineage: Eukaryota; Metazoa; Arthropoda; Insecta; Hymenoptera; Vespidae. The record is from RNAcentral.